GCCUGCAUGGUGUAGUGGUUUGAGUAUUGGACUCGGAUUCUGGGUGACCAGAGUUCAAAUCCCUGCUCAGGCA
Molecule: non-coding RNA, 73 nt
Organism: Phrynosoma platyrhinos (Desert horned lizard)
Lineage: Eukaryota; Metazoa; Chordata; Lepidosauria; Squamata; Phrynosomatidae
Source: the annotation of a GenBank genome assembly